CUUCAAUGAAAUGGCGUUUGUUCUCGUUCUCCGCUCGAUGAACGAGUGUGUGUGUGGUUUGCUCUCCUGUAUUGGCGCGUUGGAAGAACUGCUCGUGUGUGUGAUUGCUGCUCUCGACAAUUUAGCGAUUAUUUCCGUGCUGAUGACCUGUUGAUCCGAAAACGCGGUGUGCGUGCAACUCCGCGGGGUUUCAGCUACCUAAUGUUCGCUCUUGUGUUCAUACUCGGCUGAGUUGCGAGUGUCCAUUUGUACAGAAUAUACUGCAUUGCAACCCACUUCUGCCUU
Molecule: long non-coding RNA, 285 nt
Organism: Sinocyclocheilus anshuiensis
Lineage: Eukaryota; Metazoa; Chordata; Actinopteri; Cypriniformes; Cyprinidae
Exons: 3
Source: RefSeq, a predicted model, not a curated record